RNAcentral lists this ribosomal RNA (301 nucleotides) under uncultured bacterium. RNAcentral's name for it is "partial 16S ribosomal RNA". It matches the Rfam family "Bacterial small subunit ribosomal RNA", at positions 509 to 807 of the family's 1533-position model. The record is from RNAcentral.
CAGUAGCCGCGGUAAUACGUAGGGUGCAAGCGUUAUUCGGAAUUAUUGGGCGUAAAGAGCUCGUAGGCGGUUUGUCACGUCUGCUGUGAAAACGCGAGGCUCAACCUCGCGCCUGCAGUGGGUACGGGCAGACUAGAGUGCGGUAGGGGAGAUUGGAAUUCCUGGUGUAGCGGUGGAAUGCGCAGAUAUCAGGAGGAACACCGAUGGCGAAGGCAGAUCUCUGGGCCGUAACUGACGCUGAGGAGCGAAAGGGUGGGGAGCAAACAGGCUUAGAUACCCCUGUAGUCCCUGUCUCUUAUAU